UACGUAGGUGGCGAGCGUUGUCCGGAUUUACUGGGCGUAAAGAGCGCGCAGGCGGUCUGUUAAGACAGGUGUGAAAUCCCCGAGCUCAACUUGGGAAUUGCGCUUGUUACUGGCAGGCUAGAGUGUGGCAGAGGGGGGUGGAAUUCCACGUGUAGCAGUGAAAUGCGUAGAUAUGUGGAGGAACACCGAUGGCGAAGGCAGCCCCCUGGGUUAACACUGACGCUCAGGCACGAAAGCGUGGGGAGCAAACAGG
Molecule: ribosomal RNA, 253 nt
Filed under: uncultured bacterium
Lineage: Bacteria
Description: partial 16S ribosomal RNA
Rfam family: Bacterial small subunit ribosomal RNA
Source: RNAcentral